AAGGGCGCACGGUGGAUGCCUUGGCACUAGGAGCCGAUGAAGGACGGGACUAACACCGAUAUGC
This 64-nucleotide ribosomal RNA is filed under the name Halobacillus litoralis. RNAcentral's name for it is "partial 23S ribosomal RNA". Lineage: Bacteria; Bacillati; Bacillota; Bacilli; Caryophanales; Bacillaceae. RNAcentral also lists the same sequence under 1 other name. The record is from RNAcentral.